AUCGUAACUCCUACGGGAGGCAGCAGUGGGGAAUUUUGGACAAUGGGGGCAACCCUGAUCCAGCAAUGCCGCGUGAGUGAAGAAGGCCUUCGGGUUGUAAAGCUCUUUUGUCAGGGAAGAAACGGUAGUAGCUAAUAUCUAUUACUAAUGACGGUACCUGAAGAAUAAGCACCGGCUAACUACGUGCCAGCAGCCGCGGUAAUACGUAGGGUGCAAGCGUUAAUCGGAAUUACUGGGCGUAAAGCGUGCGCAGGCGGUUGUGUAAGUCAGAUGUGAAAUCCCCGGGCUCAACCUGGGAAUUGCAUUUGAGACUGCACGGCUAGAGUGUGUCAGAGGGGGGUAGAAUUCCACGUGUAGCAGUGGAAUGCGUAGAUAUGUGGAGGAAUACCGAUGGCGAAGGCAGCCACCUGGGAUAACACUGACGCUCAUGCACGAAAGCGUGGGGAGCACACAGGAUUAGAAACCCUUGUAGUCCUAGAGC
Molecule: ribosomal RNA, 481 nt
Filed under: uncultured bacterium
Lineage: Bacteria
Description: bacterial SSU rRNA
Rfam family: Bacterial small subunit ribosomal RNA
Source: RNAcentral